GGAAAACUUUGCCUAUCCCAGACUUCCUUUCUUGCUGCUUGUUUUGUUUUGCUUUGCUCUUUAAGCACAGAUUGGUCAAAACCUUGUAUAAUUGAUAUAUUUAGUAUACUGUAAAAGCCAUGGAGGUCUUUGAAAUGCACACAAGCGUAUAUUAUCCUUGUUGGGAAAGGCAAUAGUUUGAUUAUUGAUCGUUCUCUUUUGCAAAAAGAUUUUCUUUUUGUUUUUUUUUUUUUGAGACGGAGUCUUGCUCUGUCGCCCAGGCUGGAGUGCAAUGGCACAAUCUCAGCUCACUGAGCUUUUGCCUGCACUAGACUGUUGCCUGACAAAUGUAGAUUGGG
RNAcentral lists this long non-coding RNA (338 nucleotides) under Papio anubis (olive baboon). RNAcentral's name for it is "lncRNA (ENSPANG00000042671.1)". Lineage: Eukaryota; Metazoa; Chordata; Mammalia; Primates; Cercopithecidae. The record is from RNAcentral.